CCUACGGGAGGCAGCAGUGGGGAAUUUUGGACAAUGGGGGCAAGCCUGAUCCAGCCAUGCCGCGUGCAGGAUGAAGGCCUUCGGGUUGUAAACUGCUUUUGUACGGAACGAAAAGGUCUUUCUAAUAAGGAAGGCUCAUGACGGUACCGUAAGA
This 154-nucleotide ribosomal RNA is filed under the name uncultured Variovorax sp. RNAcentral describes it as "partial 16S ribosomal RNA". It matches the Rfam family "Bacterial small subunit ribosomal RNA", at positions 338 to 485 of the family's 1533-position model. The record is from RNAcentral. Lineage: Bacteria; Pseudomonadati; Pseudomonadota; Betaproteobacteria; Burkholderiales; Comamonadaceae.